RNAcentral lists this long non-coding RNA (1307 nucleotides) under Hordeum vulgare. Its description in RNAcentral is "long non-coding RNA (HVUL_LNC012911)". Lineage: Eukaryota; Viridiplantae; Streptophyta; Magnoliopsida; Poales; Poaceae. The record is from RNAcentral.
UAUCCUAUAUAAACAGCAGCACAAGGAUCCAACUAAACACCACAAGAACGACCAAAAAUACAAUAGGAGGAGGAAUCAAGGAAAUAGUAAAAAACUUCGUUAUGGCUCUAAUCAACUCAAGGUUUGUGUGCUUGAUGGCUCUUUUGCUGAUUUCGACCGCUUGCUUGUCGAGUCAAGUAUCAGGGACGAACAACAUAGGUACAUUUCUUUCCAGGAGAGCUUAUCAACUUUAUAGGAAAAUUCGUGGUUUCCGGGAGCCAGAUUUUAUCCUUUUGCUUGAUUUUCCUGUCUCCAAUGGUAUUAGUUGGAAAUAAUAUUUCUACCACUUUUAUAAUUAAAGGCCGAUUUUUAUCUUUGAGGGUGCUUAUGAAUUACAGAGAAGUCUUUGAACAUUUAUUUUUGUAGUAAUACCUAGAGCAGGAAUUGGUUAAUUUUUGUAGUUCUUUGAACCUUUAUUUGUACUAUCUUUUAAUUUAUAAAAUGCGCCAUAUUACUUUUUGUUCUACGGUUUGGGCUUCCAAAGAAAAACAGAGAAGUCUGAAUCUAUUGCAUGGCCUGCUGCACCCAUGGAUACAGUACAGACAAGUCUGAAUCUAUUGCAUGUUUUUGUUGGAUGGUACAUUCUGUUGCUUUUAGUUGUCUUCAAAGUUGACAUUCCUCAUACUGCAAAUAUAAACUGAUUACUCAAGUUAUUCGAUCUAAAUUCUAGCAAUGGCAUGAUUGUUUUGCCCAUGUUUCAUACAGUACUUAGUACCCCUUUACUGCCGCGCUAGAUAUCUUAAUACAUGUUUUUGAUAGUAGUCUUGAACUGCCGAUGGGAUAUAACAUACCACUAGUUGGUUGUGCCCGUUUUUCUAUUUGCGCGCCUCUUGUAUCUUGAUAUUUUCCUAAUACUGCAUUUUUUCCAUAGCAUCUGAGUUUAACUACGAACUGAUCUCGGCUGUGAUUCACUUUUUUAUUUUGACUUUCAUAGGUAUAAAAGCCAACGCGUGGGCGGGCCGUGAACCCUACCAGUACAAUUGUAUGCCUGAAGGCUGUGUUGUUGCCUGCAAAAAACUGGGCUGCGGAACAGGGGUUUGCCAUAAAGACGGUAGUUGCUAUUGCAGCUAGAUAAGACUGCUCAGUCCGCAGUGGUUGCUCUAAUUUGUAGCAAGAAAAAGACCCAGAAUGAGCUUAGGACAUAAUGUUGCGUUGUCUUUGAUUCCUGGAAUAAGUUAAAUGGAGAUUCUUUAUUUUCAUGUGCUCUCCCUUAUCAUGGUUCUUUUUAAUGAAAAAAAUUGGUGGUCUUGUGGCUUCUCGUUUAAAAA